Apiotrichum porosum is the source of this 98-nucleotide non-coding RNA. Lineage: Eukaryota; Fungi; Basidiomycota; Tremellomycetes; Trichosporonales; Trichosporonaceae. The record is from the annotation of a RefSeq genome assembly.
GGCCAGAUGGCCGAGUGGUCUAAGGCGCUGUGUUCAGGUUUUGAUAUUUCAUCAACAUCCGCAGUCUUCGGACGUGGGUUCGAAUCCCACUCUGGUCA